Molecule: ribosomal RNA, 253 nt
Filed under: uncultured bacterium
Lineage: Bacteria
Description: partial 16S ribosomal RNA
Rfam family: Bacterial small subunit ribosomal RNA
Source: RNAcentral
UACGGAGGGUGCAAACGUUGCUCGGAAUUAUUGGGCGUAAAGCGCACGUAGGUGGUCUGCUAUGUCGGGUGUGAAAUCCCUCGGCUUAACCGAGGAAGUGCAUUCGAAACUGGCAGGCUAGAGUACUGAAGAGGGUCGCGGAAUUCCCGGUGUAGAGGUGAAAUUCGUAGAUAUCGGGAGGAACACCGGUGGCGAAGGCGGCGACCUGGGUGGAUACUGACGCUGAGGUGCGAAAGCGUGGGGAGCAAACAGG